This 253-nucleotide ribosomal RNA is filed under the name uncultured bacterium. RNAcentral's name for it is "partial 16S ribosomal RNA". It matches the Rfam family "Bacterial small subunit ribosomal RNA", at positions 524 to 776 of the family's 1533-position model. The record is from RNAcentral.
UACGGAGGGGGCGAGCGUUGUUCGGAAUUACUGGGCGUAAAGGGCGCGUAGGCGGCCAGAUCAGUCAGACGUGAAAGCCCCGGGCUCAACCCGGGAUGUGCGUUUGAUACUGUCUGGCUCGAGACCGGAAGAGGAUGGCGGAAUACCCAGUGUAGAGGUGAAAUUCGUAGAUAUUGGGUGGAACACCAGUGGCGAAGGCGGCCAUCUGGUCCGGAUCUGACGCUGAGGCGCGAAAGCGUGGGGAGCAAACAGG